Anopheles coluzzii is the source of this 4292-nucleotide long non-coding RNA. RefSeq lists it as uncharacterized. NCBI's taxonomy places the organism in Eukaryota, Metazoa, Arthropoda, Insecta, Diptera, Culicidae. The transcript is spliced from 3 exons. The record is from RefSeq and is a predicted model, not a curated record.
AUUUUUUAUUUGCCGGUUCAAAGCCCUUUUUCAUAAAUAUUCGUGAAAAUGCAAACAUUGAUUUUGCUCCUAUUUUCGGCAGUUUGUUCCUAUUUUCGGCAGGCUGUGUUCCUAUUUUCGGCAGCGCGAAUACGGGUCAGAAAAUGUUUGUAUCAAUGUGAAUAUGUACAAAAAAAUGUUUAAAGCAAUUUAACACUCUUACUUUCCUAACAUUGGUGUUAAAAAGCACUUUAAUUAUUAAUUUUAUGUUGCUUAUUUUGGCUCGUUUUGACAGCCAUUUUGAUGCGACGUUUAAACAGAGCAGCCAUUGACAGUUUGAUGGUUAUAGCGUACGGUGCGAACUGGCUUACAAAUAUUUAUUUUUCUCUUAAGUUAGUGCAUUUUUUGUCGUAAAAUUGGUGAUAUUUGGUACAAGAAAGGUCAUAUUAUGUAUCGACAUACGCAUUGUAGUGUUCUGAUCAAUUUUAAAAGGAAUAUUCAGCCAAAUUGUGUGUGUUUGUUAUUAUUCCGAGUUUCGACAGGAGCCCACAACAUUGAGCUGUCAAAAAUGAACAUUUACUGUGUACCUAUUUUCGGCAGCAUUUACAGUGAAAAAUAACCUGUUUAUCGUGAUUUUAAAAUUCCGAACAAGUUAGAAUAAAUUAAAUAAGCAUAAAAUCUAGCAUAAAAUAUACACCACUUUUUCAUUGUUUUACUGUUCUGAUUCUCUUAAUCACAAAACCUGCCGAACGAUUGGCUGACAGCAAAGCUGCCGAAAAAAAGCACAAUUUAUUUGAUAUUUUGGAAAAUACGUAAUUAAAUGGUGUGAAACUUCGUAUGUGAAUAUCAAAUAAGUACACUUUCUCUACAAAAUUGUAUUUUGUGAAAUUUUUUACCGCAUUUGUGCAGAAUUUCACGUUUUUAGCUACCCUGCCGAAAAUAGGUACACUGCCGAAAACUGGUACAGUUAUCCUAUAUUUCUUCGAUCGGAAUCCAAGCGUUUUCCCUGAAAUUUCUGCUCACUUUUUCGAUCGCUUUUGGCGGAAAGCGAUCGAAAAUCCGCCCGCUGCGCAAAGCGACAGAAGAAAUCAUGCCGUUUGGAGAAUUUUAUCAUGCCAUCUUUUUCCCUCCAACAACAAAUUUGUCAAGCAGCUCGUCGAGCUACCCGUCCCUGGCUCCGCCUCAUACCCCUCGCCUGUGCGCGCUGUCCAAAGUGGGUAUAGGGAUUAGGUGGGCUUAUAGGUUUGGCGGGAAGGCCAUAUUGGACGAACGAAUGACAGGAGGGGACUCGAUUGUGAUACGUAGUUUUUCACCUACACUACGACACAUCAACCAAAACAGCCAUUGGAAUUCACACGCAUACAUCAACAAAUGAUCGAAUCCCCUCCUGUCAUUUCGUUUUCAUUUUUCUACAACACGGCUGUCAAAUUGUUCGGGAUAAGCCCACCUGUAUAAUGAACCCACUUUGGCGCUGUCGAUGGUUAGGAUGUGUUGGUGCGUCCAAGGUGUUAUAAAUGACAAGGUGAAGUUGUUCAGAGCAAAAUGACAUUUCUCGACUUGACAUUUCUCUUCCGGGGGCUCCGGUAUAAAAAUUCGGGAGGGCUGGUGCGGGGUAUUGAAAUUUGUAUGCAGAGAGUGACAGAUGUCCCCCACAAUGUCGCCCAGCAAAAGCGAUAAAAAUCAACCUUCUAAAUACAUUAUCCUUGCUCCAACGGCAAAUUUGUCAAGCAGCUCGUCGAGCUACCCGUCCCUGGCUCCGCCUCAUACCCCUCGCCUGAGCGCGCUGUCGAUGGUUUGGAUGUGUUGGUGCGUCAGACGGCCAAUCGCUGUUAGCCGUCGUCCGUGCUUUUUCCCUCCAUAGCGCCAUCUCUUUCUCGCGUGUGGUCAAUGCUCGCGAGCUGUUGUGGCGCCUAAAAAUGCCGUUAGAAAACAUUGCGGCGAUGAAGUUGCAUUUUCACAAAUCAAACCAAAAAAAGCGCAAUGAGUUCAAUUGCUGCAAUGUAAAAACAACUACGGAAUCGCUAGCGCACGAUGGAGGGUUUGCUGUGCAACGCGCUGAACCCUAAUUCGCAUUGACACGUUCAGCUCGGCGCUGAUUUUUAUCAACUCCGUUCCGCCAGCAUCAAGAACCCAAGCUGAUAGUGAAACCAGCAUCCUGGAAAGUUCACUGGUAGUCGUUGGGACAUGUCAUCGAUCUGAACGUGUUAAGCAUUAAGCAUAACUUUGUUACCCUAAGCUUUUGCUUUCGUAUGAUGUACAUUACACAGAUAUCCAGAGCCAUCUGCGCGUGGGUGUGAGCGUGCGUGUGUGUGCAACACUUUCGCCAAAUGUGUUUUCUUCCGGAAUGUAUGCAUCGAGCAGGAGACAGUGUGGCAGUAUGCAAGUAACCCGCUGGAUGGGAGCGGUCGCGUGGCACCGCCAUCAUUCCGCACAUCUGCAUGCCCGUCGUGGGUUCUAACCGCGUAUGAACCGUCCGCCGUAGCAAGGGGUGACUAUCCGGCUACGUGGUACUCAAGUCCUGAAAAGGCCGGCAUGACCGCGUAGGCCAUUACACCAAUAAUAAGAAUAAUAAUAAGAAAAAGAAGAACUUACCAUAGCAGUCCACACUCGGGGAAGGUUUUUGUUUUGACUUUGGUGCUGCCGGGCUACCGCUGUGGCGCGACAAAUGCACGGAAUGCACUCGACCAAAACAUGAACCUACCGAUCCGAACCCAUUCCAAGGCAUUGCCGGUCAAUCGGCGUCAUGAUACCGACUCUAAGCCAACAAGCCACCAGAUUCUGGACGGACAAGUGCAGCACCAUACGCGCACCGUAAUAAACAAAUCCAGAAUCCUCUUUUGUAUGAAUUCAAUUCAAAAUGUUGUUUCCACUUGCGUCUGCUAGCUGAAUUAGAAAUAAAUGUGCAACAUAUCGCACGCACGUUUGCUUAGAUCGUGUGUCUUUUUAAUACCCCCAUCAGCAGAGCCGAUCGCAAAGAUGCCAAUGCCAAUGGUUGUGUUGUCUCUCAGGUAGCGAGAUCGAAAAUGCAUGGACGUUGUAGCCGCAGCGGAUGAAAAUGUACGCAUCAGAAUCAAAUAGUUUUGGGGUUUCCAAACGCACGCACACACACAAACACGCGCGCGCAAACUCACACACUCACACACACACACACACACAAACACGCGCGCGCAAACUCACACACUCACACACACACACACACAGACACACGCACACACGCAAACACACACACACGCACGCACACACGCACGCACGCACACAUGCAUGUACGCGCGCACGCGAGCACGCACCCACGAAAGCGCGCAGGCGACAACGCACCUACGAACGCGCGCACGCGAGAACGCAUCUACGAACCCACGCACACGCACGAGCGAGUACGGCUACCUUCCCGCUUGGCAAAGAGUAACUCAUUUUGAUGCCUCACGCUACCCCUGGCCUUAGUUUUAAAGGAAUCAUGCGACACACUCGUACUCCACUACCCCAUCCCAUGGAAAAACGCUCCCACCAUCGAGGUGUUGACCAAAAUUUCGCUGUGUGCAUGAGACACACACUCGCAAUCCUCCAGCCCUCCACAGCUGAACGCUCCCACCGUUGCGAAGAUAGAAUUUUUGCUGUGAGCGUGAGACCUUGAAGCGCAAGAGAUGACACUAUGUGUAAAGACGAUCAUAAUUCGAUAUGGUCAAAAUGCGUCGAUUGUCGUUUCAUUUAUCUGGUAAUGAUGUAUUCACUUCAUCAAAAUUUUUAACGUUAACAACAUGGCUGAUAACAAUAGUUGAAAUGUAAAUCAGAAUAAAAUCAAUUCAUGUAAAGUAAAAUAAAUUCCAUUAUACUUUAUUUUGACCAUAUGAUCAACACUUGUACAUAGUGCCAUUUACUUUGUGUUCUUCACUCUCGCGCUGUGUUGUGAUCGUUCGAAACUCAUCGCCAGAACGAAUGCAAAUCUCAUUUGGGAAACAUUGGUGCCGGUAAAUGCAGCGAAAAUUAUGAAAUGAUAAUAGAAAAGUGGUUAAGUAAAUCAUGAAGGAUGUCAACGCAGGCGUAAAUGCAGUAUGUUUUGUUACAUGAUCUACGGCUAUUUCAUUGCCAAAGCUCCUGAUAACAGAUCAAAGCAGAUGGAUCGGGCUUACAGAGUCGCCAUUUAACUUAAAAUAUCUUCGUGAUCGGCAAACGCAUCAAACACCAAGUGUUUCUCUUCCAACAGCACGCGCCAUAGGUGGAGCAAGCAGCCAACGAUUUGAUCGCCAGUACGCGCCAUCAAGAAUUGAUAUUUUGCCAAACAGUACUGUGAAUAAAAAACUGCACACUUACUGUCCGAA